UUCCUUUCUCACAGGGUGUUUCUCUGUCACUCCCCGUCUGCACCAGGUGUGCCCCCCAAAAGUCUCUUGCCUGGAUCCUGCCCCGAUCAGCCGUGUGACUCUGGAUCAGCCGUUUUGCUUCAACAGGCUCCAGCUCCUUCAUCUGGGAAGGAAGGUGUUGGGCCAUGUGGGGCGAAGGCCUCUGGAGACGGAUUUGAUUCUCCAAAUCUUUUUUCGAUUCAUUAUUUAGACAGUUGGUCACUUCUGCUCAUCGAAGCCGCCGGGGGAGCGAGGAAGGCCAGCUGGUGGCGAAUGGCUGCCCCAAUGUUUUGUUGCCUGGCUGGCAUCCUUUUGAAGAGGAGACUAGGACAGAGACACACACAGAGGGACACCACCAUCUACAAGCCAGGGACAGAGAAACCCGCCUGCUGAUGCUUGAUCUCAGACUUGCAGCCCCCAGAAUGGAAAGGAAACACCUGCCACCCUCCACGGCCACCCAGGCUGAGCGCUUUGCUAUGACGUUCCUGGGGCCGAGCGCCAGCCUCACCAGAGCUCUGCCCUCCCGCCGCCCCGCUUCUCCUGGAGUGUCCUGACUCUGCCUCCCUAGGGGAUCUCACUUUGACUCCGUUGUUUUCAUCUGUCCUGUCGUUCUCCUUCUUUUCCUUUGGAUUUGUCUCAGAGCUGGAAUAAUUCUGUAGAGAAAACUCCCCUCACCACCUUUGGUUACCGGGAAGUCCUAUUUGUGUAGGAAAAGUGGAAUAAAAGUGCCCGACUCGCCCUCCGCCUUUGCCAUCUUCAACAUCACGAUGGGAAUGAUCCUUAGUGAUCCGUAGCAUUUUCUGACUGCGAUGAAGGGAUUUUAAGAGUGUUCUUGGCAAGUCACGGGCAUGAAUAGACUUCAUACACGUCCGACGACUGCAGUUAUCCCUGCGGAUGUUCAGUCCCCCUCUUUGGUGGAGGGAGGUGGACAAGAGGCCUCUUGGACUCAGCUGGCAUGACUCUGGCAGGCUUGGCUUUCUUCAACAGACAUUACAGUUCCUCGUGGACAUUUCUGGCCCAAACCCUUAGCUGGCCAUUCCUUCCAGGUCCCUGGUCAUUUUGGGGAAAUGGUAUUUAGACACAAUUCAGGUGCUGGGGGGGUGCUCACUGUCAUCAUGGUGAUUUUUGUUAUUUGGACUUUUCAAUAGUCAGAGGCAGGAAAUGCAAACAUAAAGUACAAAGACUACAUUCCUCAUGAAUCCAACUGCCACUUGUAAUUCAAAUUCCAUAUAUAUAUAAAGCUUUUCCUCUCUCUUAUUUUGGGGGUGGUGGGAUAGGGUACCGGGGAUUGAACUCAGGGGCUCUCAACCACUGAGCCACGUCCCCAGCCUUUUUUC
RNAcentral lists this long non-coding RNA (1355 nucleotides) under Ictidomys tridecemlineatus (thirteen-lined ground squirrel). Its description in RNAcentral is "lncRNA (ENSSTOG00000030616.1)". Lineage: Eukaryota; Metazoa; Chordata; Mammalia; Rodentia; Sciuridae. The record is from RNAcentral.